RNAcentral lists this transfer-messenger RNA (319 nucleotides) under Treponema sp. Its description in RNAcentral is "partial transfer-messenger RNA". It matches the Rfam family "transfer-messenger RNA", at positions 44 to 374 of the family's 374-position model. Rfam says of the family: Bacterial tmRNA, also known as 10Sa RNA or SsrA, is named for its dual tRNA and mRNA-like properties. Its role is to liberate the mRNA from a stalled ribosome. The record is from RNAcentral. Lineage: Bacteria; Pseudomonadati; Spirochaetota; Spirochaetia; Treponematales; Treponemataceae.
UGCAGGUGGAGAGCCCAUCUCCUGAUUGGGCAAAAAUUUAACUGCCAACUACGACAGUUACGAUUACGCCUUAGCUGCGUAAUUGCGUGGAACCGUUCCGCCGCCCUGAGGGACGGCUUCCGCGUUGCAAUCAGGGCUGGCUGUGCCGCUCUUUCCGGAGGCGGUGCGGCAAGAUUUUCCGGAAUACGGACAGGCCGCGCGCUGUUUAGCCAAACCGGUCCCGACAAAGGCUUGCUUACAAGCUUAAUAAACAGCUAAACCUGUAGAUGCCUGUGUUUCACGUAUUAGGACGGGGGUUCGACUCCCCCCACCUCCAGAA